Molecule: small nuclear RNA, 108 nt
Filed under: Marmota marmota marmota (Alpine marmot)
Lineage: Eukaryota; Metazoa; Chordata; Mammalia; Rodentia; Sciuridae
Also listed under: 1 other name
Source: RNAcentral
ACGCUUGCUCUACAGCAUAUACACUAAAAAUUAGAAUGAUACAGAGGAAGAUCAGCAUGGCCUCUGCUCAAAUAUGGCAUGCAAAUUUGUGAAGCAUUCUGUAUUUUU